GGCUUAACACAUGCAAGUCGAGGGGCAGCAUGUUGGUUGCUUGCAACCAACGAUGGCGACCGGCGCACGGGUGAGUAACGCGUAUCCAACCUGCCCUUGUCCAUCGGAUAACCCGUCGAAAGGCGGCCUAACACGAUAUGCAGUUCUCAGCAGGCAUCUAACGAGAACGAAAUGUGAAGGAGAAGGAUGGGGAUGCGUCUGAUUAGCUUGUUGGCGGGGUAACGGCCCACCAAGGCGACGAUCAGUAGGGGUUCUGAGAGGAAGGUCCCCCACAUUGGAACUGAGACACGGUCCAAACUCCUACGGGAGGCAGCAGUGAGGAAUAUUGGUCAAUGGACGGAAGUCUGAACCAGCCAAGUAGCGUGCAGGAAGACGGCCCUAUGGGUUGUAAACUGCUUUUAUACGGGGAUAAAGUGAGCCACGUGUGGCUUAUUGCAGGUACCGUAUGAAUAAGGACCGGCUAAUUCCGUGCCAGCAGCCGCGGUAAUACGGAAGGUCCGGGCGUUAUCCGGAUUUAUUGGGUUUAAAGGGAGCGUAGGCCGUUUGUUAAGCGUGUUGUGAAAUGUCGGGGCUCAACCUGGGCAUUGCAGCGCGAACUGGCAGACUUGAGUGCGCGGGAAGUAGGCGGAAUUCGUCGUGUAGCGGUGAAAUGCUUAGAUAUGACGAAGAACUCCGAUUGCGAAGGCAGCCUGCUGUAGCGUAACUGACGCUGAAGCUCGAAAGCGUGGGUAUCGAACAGGAUUAGAUACCCUGGUAGUCCACGCGGUAAACGAUGGAUGCUCGCUGUUUGCGUCUGACGUAAGCGGCCAAGCG
RNAcentral lists this ribosomal RNA (813 nucleotides) under uncultured bacterium. RNAcentral's name for it is "bacterial SSU rRNA". It matches the Rfam family "Bacterial small subunit ribosomal RNA", at positions 45 to 853 of the family's 1533-position model. The record is from RNAcentral.